UGAAAAGAAAGAACUUCUCACUGGGGUCU
This 29-nucleotide non-coding RNA is filed under the name Mus musculus (house mouse). The record is from RNAcentral. Lineage: Eukaryota; Metazoa; Chordata; Mammalia; Rodentia; Muridae.